This 222-nucleotide ribosomal RNA is filed under the name Bacteroides fragilis. RNAcentral describes it as "partial 23S ribosomal RNA". It matches the Rfam family "Bacterial large subunit ribosomal RNA", at positions 2061 to 2292 of the family's 2925-position model. Lineage: Bacteria; Pseudomonadati; Bacteroidota; Bacteroidia; Bacteroidales; Bacteroidaceae. The record is from RNAcentral.
GCCGAUUACCCGCGAUGGGACGAAAAGACCCCGUGAACCUUUACUAUAGCUUAACAUUGAAUUUGGGUAAUUGAUGUGUAGGAUAGGCCGGAGACUUUGAAGCGGGUACGCCAGUAUUCGUGGAGUCGCUGUUGAAAUACGGCCCUUUGGUUAUUUGAGUUCUAACUCGCUGAUGCGAGGACACUGUUUGGUGGGUAGUUUGACUGGGGUGGUCGCCUCCAA